CAUUGGAUCCAGACUUUGACCCUGGCUCAGGAUGAACGCUGGCGGCGUGCCUAAUACAUGCAAGUCGAACGAAACUUCUUUAUCACCGAGUGCUUGCACUCACCGAUAAAGAGUUGAGUGGCGAACGGGUGAGUAACACGUGGGCAACCUGCCCGAAAGAGGGGGAUAACACUUGGAAACAGGUGCUAAUACCGCAUAACCAUGAAUACCGCAUGGUAUUUAUGUGAAAGGUGGUUUCGGCUACCGCUUUCGGAUGGGCCCGCGGCGCAUUAGCUAGUUGGUGGGGUAAAGGCUUACCAAGGCAAUGAUGCGUAGCCGAACUGAGAGGUUGAUCGGCCACAUUGGGACUGAGACACGGCCCAAACUCCUACGGGAGGCAGCAGUAGGGAAUCUUCCACAAUGGGCGAAAGCCUGAUGGAGCAACGCCGCGUGGGUGAAGAAGGUCUUCGGAUCGUAAAACCCUGUUGUCAGAGAAGAAAGUGCAUGAGAGUAACUGUUCAUGUUUCGACGGUAUCUGACCAGAAAGCCACGGCUAACUACGUGCCAGCAGCCGCGGUAAUACGUAGGUGGCAAGCGUUAUCCGGAUUUAUUGGGCGUAAAGGGAACGCAGGCGGUCUUUUAAGUCUGAUGUGAGAGCCUUCGGCUUAACCGGAGUAGUGCACUGGAAACUGGGAGACUUGAGUGCAGAAGAGGAGAGUGGAACUCCAUGUGUAGCGGUGAAAUGCGUAGAUAUAUGGAAGAACACCAGUGGCGAAGGCGGCUCUCUGGUCUGUAACUGACGCUGAGGUUCGAAAGCGUGGGUAGCAAACAGGAUUAGAUACCCUGGUAGUCCACGCCGUAAACGAUGAAUGCUAAGUGUUGGAGGGUUUCCGCCCUUCAGUGCUGCAGUUAACACAAUAAGCAUUCCGCCUGGGGAGUACGACCGCAAGGUUGCAACUCAAAUGAAUUGACGGA
Molecule: ribosomal RNA, 954 nt
Filed under: uncultured bacterium
Lineage: Bacteria
Also listed under: 1 other name
Description: bacterial SSU rRNA
Rfam family: Bacterial small subunit ribosomal RNA
Source: RNAcentral